CUGGAUUCGACGGGAUUUGCGAAACCCAAGGUGCAUGCCGAGGGGCGGUUGGCCUCGUAAAAAGCCGCAAAAAAUAGUCGCAAACGACGAAAACUACGCUUUAGCAGCUUAAUAACCUGCUUAGAGCCCUCUCUCCCUAGCCUCCGCUCUUAGGACGGGGAUCAAGAGAGGUCAAACCCAAAAGAGAUCGCGUGGAAGCCCUGCCUGGGGUUGAAGCGUUAAAACUUAAUCAGGCUAGUUUGUUAGUGGCGUGUCCGUCCGCAGCUGGCAAGCGAAUGUAAAGACUGA
This 288-nucleotide unclassified non-coding RNA is filed under the name Escherichia coli O26:H11. RNAcentral describes it as "tmRNA". It matches the Rfam family "transfer-messenger RNA", at positions 10 to 307 of the family's 374-position model. From Rfam's summary of the family: Bacterial tmRNA, also known as 10Sa RNA or SsrA, is named for its dual tRNA and mRNA-like properties. Its role is to liberate the mRNA from a stalled ribosome. Lineage: Bacteria; Pseudomonadati; Pseudomonadota; Gammaproteobacteria; Enterobacterales; Enterobacteriaceae. The record is from RNAcentral.